AUUGAACGCUGGCGGCAUGCUUUACACAUGCAAGUCGAACGGCAGCAUAGGUGCUUGCACCUGAUGGCGAGUGGCGAACGGGUGAGUAAUACAUCGGAACGUGCCCAGUCGUGGGGGAUAACGUAGCGAAAGUUACGCUAAUACCGCAUACGAUCUAAGGAUGAAAGCGGGGGACCGUAAGGCCUCGCGCGAUUGGAGCGGCCGAUGUCAGAUUAGGUAGUUGGUGAGGUAAAGGCUCACCAAGCCGACGAUCUGUAGCUGGUCUGAGAGGACGACCAGCCACACUGGGACUGAGACACGGCCCAGACUCCUACGGGAGGCAGCAGUGGGGAAUUUUGGACAAUGGACACAAGUCUGAUCCAGCCAUUCCGCGUGCAGGACGAAGGCCUUCGGGUUGUAAACUGCUUUUGUACGGAACGAAAAAGCUCUUACUAAUACUAGGAGUCCAUGACGGUACCGUAAGAAUAAGCACCGGCUAACUACGUGCCAGCCGCCGCGGUAA
RNAcentral lists this ribosomal RNA (502 nucleotides) under uncultured bacterium. Its description in RNAcentral is "partial 16S ribosomal RNA". It matches the Rfam family "Bacterial small subunit ribosomal RNA", at positions 30 to 523 of the family's 1533-position model. The record is from RNAcentral.